Molecule: long non-coding RNA, 211 nt
Filed under: Elaeis guineensis (African oil palm)
Lineage: Eukaryota; Viridiplantae; Streptophyta; Magnoliopsida; Arecales; Arecaceae
Description: long non-coding RNA (EGUI_LNC080410)
Source: RNAcentral
UGCCAGUGUCUCCACACUCUUUGGUUAAGAGGACAACCAACCCAUAUGGCCUACAGCGAUCUAUGCUCGAUAGAAGCUGUCGUCCUUAUUAACAGCCUAUCAUUUGGUCGUGAACAGUUUUAAGGACUAAUCGAUAAAUCCUCUCUUUAUCGAAUCUAAAUAGUCCUAAGGACUUCAUCAUAACAACAGAGUUCAUUAAAAGAUGAAAGCU